RNAcentral lists this ribosomal RNA (431 nucleotides) under Trochomorpha sp. 1 AP-2023. RNAcentral describes it as "partial large subunit ribosomal RNA". The stretch from base 1 to 129 matches the Rfam family "Archaeal large subunit ribosomal RNA", at positions 1908 to 2084 of the family's 2987-position model. The record is from RNAcentral. Lineage: Eukaryota; Metazoa; Mollusca; Gastropoda; Stylommatophora; Trochomorphidae.
AGCUUCAUGUAAUUAUAUGAAGUAAUACCUGCCCAGUGAUCUUUUUUUAACGGCCGCAGUACUUUGACUGUGCUAAGGUAGCAUAAUCAAUUGGCUUUUAAUUAAAGUCUAGUAUAAAAGGGAUAAUGAAAAUAAUGUUGUUUCUUAUAUAACUUAAUAAAAUUUACUUAAUAGAGUGAAAAUUCUCUAAUAUAAAAAAUAGACGAGAAGACCCUAGGAAUUAUAAAUUUUUUUGUUGGGGCAACAAAAUAACAAAUAAAAAAACUUAUUUAUUUUUUAUAUUUAUAAAAUAAAAAAUUUUUAAUAAUAAUUAAUUACCCUAGGGAUAACAGCAUAAUUUUAUUAAAAAAGUUUGUGACCUCGAUGUUGGACUAGGAAAUUUUAUUAUAAACAAUAAUAAACAUUAAGUUCUGUUCGAACUAUUAUUUCCU